AACCAACACUUAUAAAAUAUCAACAGAGCAGACCUGUACUACAUGAAAUUGUAAUGGAAGUUCUCCAAAGGGAAAAAGAAUAUUAACAGAAAAAUUGGAUCUUCAGGAGCAAAUGAAGAACAUCAGAAAUGCAAAAUUAUAACAUCAGUCUUUGGGGUUUGUAAUGUAUGAAGAUGUAAUAUGUAAAUGUAUAAUGAAAUAAAUAUAUAAAACUACUAAAUGUAUGAUACUAUAAGAGAGUAUGGUUGUUCAGAGGUGGCAAAAUGGACCUAUAUGCUUACGAGGUGUCUAUAUUUUAUGUAAAAAGGUACAGUAUUCUGCUUAAAUUCUGAAAGGUUAGAGAUGUAUAUUGUGUUUCUUAAAUAAAACACUAAAAAAGUAGAGAUAUCUUUUAAGCUGAUAGAAACAUUAAGAUAUAAUAUUGAAAAUUAUUUGUUAUAUUUUUAAAAGAUAAGAAAGAAGAAAUAACAGGCAGCAGAGAGGACAAAAGAAAAAUAAUAGGAGUUCCCUGGUGGCUGAAUGGCUUAAGGAUCCAGCAUCACUGCUGUGGCAUGGGUUUGAUCCUUGGCCCAGGAAUUUCUGCAUUCCAUGGACACAGCCAAAAUAAUAAUAAAACGUUAAGUGAAAUCUGAUGAUGAUAACAGUUGCAUUAAAUAUUAAAGGUCUAAACACUGCAAUUAAUAAUUAGAGACUGUCAGAGUGGAUUAUAAAAAAGGAAGAUAUACAGCUUACAAGAAUUACCCUUUAGAUAUAAAGACACAUAGGUAUGUUAAAAGUAAAUGAAUGUACAAAACUAUACCAGUCAGGAGUUCCUGUCGUGGCUCAGUGGCAAUGAACCUGACUAGUGUGAAUGAAGAUGCAGUUUCACUCCCUGGCCUCACUCAGUGAGCAGUGGUGUAGGUCACAGAAGCAGCUUGGAUCUGACAUUGCUGUGGCUGUGGUGUCGGAAGGCACUUACACCUCUCUUUCAUCCCCUAAUCUGGAAACUGCCAUAUGCUGUGGGUGUGGCCCUAAAACAGACCAAAAAAAAAAAAAAGUGUGAAACCUAGGUCUGUUGUUUCCAAAGCCUGAACUCUUUUCCUUACUCAGUUUUAUAACUAUAUAAAAUCCUAUGUGGAUUUGCCCUUGACUCUUGGUAUUCUUUUUUUUUUUUUUCUAUUAAUGUAGCAAGGAAGAGCUAUGUUAAUAUCAGAUAAAGGCAUUCCCACUGUGGUACAAUGGAUUAAGAAAUCUGACUACAGUGGCUCAGGUUGCUGUGGAGGCACAGGUUUCAUCCCUGGCCCAGCACAGUGGGCUUAAUCCAGCAUUUCUGCGUGUGUGACUUAGGUCACAGCUGUGGCUCAGAUUCAGUCCCUGGCCCAGGAACUUCCAUAUACUGCAAGUGUAGCCAUGAAAAUUUCAAGAUAAUAAUACCAGAUAAAAUAACUUUCAAGAUAGAGAGUAUUAUGGGAAAUAAAAAUGAAUAUUUCAGGAGUUAUUAUUGUGGCUCAGCAGGUUAAGAUCCCAAUAUAGUGUCUGUGAGAUUUGGGUUUGAUCCCUGGCCUUGCUUAGUGGGUGAAGGAUCUAGUGUUCCCGCAAGUUGCCGUGUGGGUUGCAGAUGCAGCUCAGAUCUGGUGUUGCUAUAACUGUGGUGUAGGCCAGCAGCCGCAGCUCUGAUUCAACCCCUAGCCUGGGAACUUCCAUAUGCCACAAGUGCAGCUAUAAAAAGGAAAAAAAGGGGAUAGUUCAUAAUAUUAAAAGGACAUUUCAGGAAGAUAUAAUUAUAAAUAAAUGUCUGUGUAUUUAGCAGCAACCUAAAAAUACAUGAAGCAAAAAUUGAGAGAAUUCAAAAGAGAAAUAGUUAUUUAUACAAUGAUAGAAGAUUUUAACACCUGUGAUAGAAGAUUAUAUACACAUUUUAAAAUGUUAAUUUACUAUAUUAACAAAAUAGAGUAUUAAAAAAUACCUGAUUGUUUCCAAAUGUGAAGAAAAAGCAUUUGCAAAAUUUAACACACAUUCAUGAUAAAAACUCAGCAAACUAGGAAUAAUAGGGAACAUCUUAAUCUGGUAAGGAGUUUCUACAGAAUACUCAAUUUACCUUCAUGUUCCAGGUGGCUCAGCAGUAACAAACCUGGCUAGUAUCCAUGAGGGUACAGGUUCAGUCUCUGACCUUGCUCAAUGGGUUAAGGAUCUGGCGUUACCAUGAGCCAUGGUGUAGGUCACAGACACAGCUCAGAUCCUGCAUUGCUGUGGAUGUGGUGUAGGAUGGCAGCUGUAGCUCUGAUUUGAUCCCCAGCCUGGGAACUUCCAUAUGCUGUAGGUAUGGCCCUAAAAG
Molecule: long non-coding RNA, 2314 nt
Filed under: Sus scrofa (pig)
Lineage: Eukaryota; Metazoa; Chordata; Mammalia; Artiodactyla; Suidae
Description: lncRNA (ENSSSCG00000062709.1)
Source: RNAcentral